This 253-nucleotide ribosomal RNA is filed under the name uncultured bacterium. Its description in RNAcentral is "partial 16S ribosomal RNA". It matches the Rfam family "Bacterial small subunit ribosomal RNA", at positions 524 to 776 of the family's 1533-position model. The record is from RNAcentral.
UACGGAGGGUGCGAGCGUUAAUCGGAAUUACUGGGCGUAAAGCGCGCGUAGGCGGUUAUGUAAGUCAGGUGUGAAAGCCCCGGGCUCAACCUGGGAAUUGCAUUUGAGACUGCAUAGCUAGGGUGCGGAAGAGGGAAGCGGAAUUUCCGGUGUAGCGGUGAAAUGCGUAGAUAUCGGGAGGAACAUCAGUGGCGAAAGCGGCGUCCUGGGCCAGCACCGACGUUCAGGCACGAAAGCGUGGGGAGCAAACAGG